AGAGUUUGAUCAUGGCUCAGGAUGAACGCUGGCGGCGUGCUUAACACAUGCAAGUCGAACGAACCUUCGGGUUAGUGGCGGACGGGUGAGUAACGCGUGAGAAUCUGCCCUCAGGAGGGGGAUAACGGUUGGAAACGACCGCUAAUACCCCAUAUGCCUACUGGUGAAAUGAAUUUCGCCUGAGGAUGAGCUCGCGUCUGAUUAGCUAGUUGGUGAGGUAAUGGCUCACCAAGGCUUCGAUCAGUAGCUGGUCUGAGAGGAUGAUCAGCCACACUGGGACUGAGACACGGCCCAGACUCCUACGGGAGGCAGCAGUGGGGAAUUUUCCGCAAUGGGCGAAAGCCUGACGGAGCAACGCCGCGUGAGGGACGAAGGCCUCUGGGCUGUAAACCUCUUUUCUCAAGGAAGAAGAUAUGACGGUACUUGAGGAAUAAGCCACGGCUAAUUCCGUGCCAGCAGCCGCGGUAAUACGGGAGUGGCAAGCGUUAUCCGGAAUUAUUGGGCGUAAAGCGUCCGCAGGCGGCUUUUCAAGUCUGCUGUUAAAGCGUGGAGCUUAACUCCAUCAUGGCAGUGGAAACUGAAAGGCUUGAGUAUGGUAGGGGCAGAGGGAAUUCCCGGUGUAGCGGUGAAAUGCGUAGAUAUCGGGAAGAACACCAGUGGCGAAGGCGCUCUGCUGGGCCAUUACUGACGCUCAUGGACGAAAGCCAGGGGAGCGAAAGGGAUUAGAUACCCCUGUAGUCCUGGCCGUAAACGAUGAACACU
This 762-nucleotide ribosomal RNA is filed under the name uncultured marine microorganism. RNAcentral describes it as "bacterial SSU rRNA". It matches the Rfam family "Bacterial small subunit ribosomal RNA", at positions 8 to 817 of the family's 1533-position model. The record is from RNAcentral.